RNAcentral lists this long non-coding RNA (940 nucleotides) under Homo sapiens (human). RNAcentral describes it as "HSALNT0002236". The record is from RNAcentral. Lineage: Eukaryota; Metazoa; Chordata; Mammalia; Primates; Hominidae.
CUGGGAUUACAGGCAUGAGGCACCGCACCUGGCCUGAACUGGGUUUUGAUCACUAUCAUGGUCUGUCACUCUCCAACUGGGUGACCUGGAGCCAGUGACUGAGACCCCGCUCCAAGCAUCACCGGAGUCAGCAAACUCCAAACAAAUGGACUUAAUUAACUCAUUGACAUUGAUAUAAUACAAGAUUCUGAUGUGAGCUAAUACUAACAGGCACCUACUAUGAGACAGGGCCUGUGCUAGGUGCCUUAGUCAACACCGUAAAACAAAUGAGGCUGCAAGGGGUGCAGUGACAGGCCCAACAUCACACAGCUGGAAGCCAGCAUUGUUUUUGGGAAGCUUCUCUUCUCCAUUCAGCCCAUGGGGCUCAGUGGAGCCACCUAUCACCUCUGUCUCCAUUGUAUCAAGAGAUCCAGACCACUCCCCACUGCCAUGGUGAUUGGUUCAAGGAUGAGCAUCUGACCACAAUCUGGGCCAAUGACAGUGAUGCUAGAGACUUGUUUCAACUAUUGCAAAGAGGCUCACUUCCUGUUGGAAUGCUAAACCAGAGGGUGUAAGAUGGGAAGAUGUAAUCCUGGAGUGGCCAGGGCAAUCCCUGCCAUCUUGCAGGGAGAGCUUGCCUGAGAAUGAAUCCAACACGGAGGAACAUAGAGCCAAGAGAUACUCAUUUAGCACAUUGAUCUAGCCAUACCUGAAGUCUAUGAAGGCAUGUGUCAGUUACCCAAACUGAUAUAUUCUCUUUUCUGCUUAAUCCAGUUUGAAUUGGGUUUUGUGUCCAUUUUUAACAGAGUCUUAAUUAAAGCAGCUGGGGAGGAAGCCUGGGCAGGGGAAGGGAAAGGUGCCAGCUAGGAGUGAAUGGAUCAGAACAUGGGGUGCAGGUCCCUACCUUGCUGACUCCUGGUAUGAUGGGCUCAACACCAGCCCUCUUUAUGGUGAUCCUCAG